Molecule: ribosomal RNA, 253 nt
Filed under: uncultured bacterium
Lineage: Bacteria
Description: partial 16S ribosomal RNA
Rfam family: Bacterial small subunit ribosomal RNA
Source: RNAcentral
UACGGGGGGGGCAAGCGUUGUUCGGAAUUACUGGGCGUAAAGGGCUCGUAGGCGGCCAACUAAGUCAGACGUGAAAUCCCCAGGCUCAACCUGGGAACUGCGUCUGAUACUGGAUGGCUUGAAUCCGGGAGAGGGAUGCAGAAUUCCAGGUGUAGCGGUGAAAUGCGUAGAUAUCUGGAGGAAUACCGGUGGCGAAGGCGGCAUCCUGGACCGGCAUUGACGCUGAGGCGCGAAAGCGUGGGGAGCAAACGGG